CAGGCCUAACCAUGCAAGUCGUACGAGAACCGAGUAGCUUGCUACUCGGGGAAAGUGGCAAUGGGUGAGUAACACGUGAGCAAUCUACCCCCGAGUGAGGAACAACCCGCGAAAGUGGGGCUAAUACCGCAUGAUACUGUGGAGCAUAAGCUUUCACGUCAAAGCCUUCGGGCGCUUGGGGAUGAGCUUGCGGCCUAUUAGGUUGUGGUAGGGUAACGGCCUACCAAGGUAAUGAUGGGUAGCCGGCCUGAGAGGUGUACGGCCACACUGGAACUGGGACACGGUCCAGACUCCUACGGGAGGCGCAGUGGGGAAUUUUGCGCAAUGGGCGAAAGCCUGACGCAGCGACGCCGGUGGAGGAUGAAGGCCUUCGGGUUGUAAACUCCUGUCAGAGGUGAAGAAGCCCUUCGGGGUCUGACGGUAACCUCAGAGGAAGCCCCGGCCAACUACGGCCAGCAGCCGCGGUAAU
Molecule: ribosomal RNA, 469 nt
Filed under: uncultured bacterium
Lineage: Bacteria
Description: bacterial SSU rRNA
Rfam family: Bacterial small subunit ribosomal RNA
Source: RNAcentral